AACUGAUACUACCUGCGGGAACCUGCGGAGGGAUCAUUACAGAGUUUUCUAAACUCCCAAACCCAUGUGAACUUACCAUUGUUGCCUCGGCGGAGCCUACCCUGUAGCUACCCUAUAAGGUGGUUACCCUGUAGCGCCCCGCCGGUGGAUUUUCAAACUCUUGUUAUUCAUAGUAAUCUGAGAGUCUUAUUUUAAAUAAGUCAAAACUUUUAACAAUGGAUCUCUAGAUCGGAAGAGCAC
Molecule: unclassified non-coding RNA, 240 nt
Filed under: soil metagenome
Description: partial contains 5.8S ribosomal RNA, internal transcribed spacer 2, and large subunit ribosomal RNA
Source: RNAcentral